AUUGCUCUCAGCUGGGCGACUGUGUGCCCAGCAAGUGGAAUUCACUGCUUUUUCGGAGAGAACCCAUCCAGGUUUGAAGAAAAUCACCAACCGGGUUUUGGGAAGAAAGUCCAUAUGGGAGUGAUGACAAGCAACAAUCCGUCUGGGCUCCAAAGAAGAGAAAUUGAAUAAUCUUUGACUGACAUGGAGACAAGAAGCGAGACCAUCGUUUUCUCCCCAUCCUGAUUUAUGUGUCCCACGCCACCAAGACU
Long non-coding RNA from Tachyglossus aculeatus (Australian echidna), 251 nucleotides. RefSeq lists it as uncharacterized. The transcript has 3 exons. The record is from RefSeq and is a predicted model, not a curated record. Lineage: Eukaryota; Metazoa; Chordata; Mammalia; Monotremata; Tachyglossidae.